RNAcentral lists this ribosomal RNA (460 nucleotides) under uncultured bacterium. Its description in RNAcentral is "partial 16S ribosomal RNA". It matches the Rfam family "Bacterial small subunit ribosomal RNA", at positions 338 to 795 of the family's 1533-position model. The record is from RNAcentral.
CCUACGGGUGACAGCAGUGAGGAAUAUUGGUCAAUGGACGAGAGUCUGAACCAGCCAAGUAGCGUGAAGGAUGACUGCCCUAUGGGUUGUAAACUUCUUUUAUAUGGGAAUAAAAUGUUCCACGUGUGGGAUUUUGUAUGUACCAUAUGAAUAAGGAUCGGCUAACUCCGUGCCAGCAGCCGCGGUAAUACGGAGGAUCCGAGCGUUAUCCGGAUUUAUUGGGUUUAAAGGGAGCGUAAGUGGAUUGUUAAGUCAGUUGUGAAAGUUUGCGGCUCAACCGUAAAAUUGCAGUUGAAACUGGCAGUCUUGAGUACAGUAGAGGUGGGCGGAAUUCGUGGUGUAGCGGUGAAAUGCUUAGAUAUCACGAAGAACUCCGAUUGCGAAGGCAGUUCACUGGACUGCAACUGACACUGAGGCUCGAAAGUGUGGGUAUCAAACAGGAUUAGAUACCCGAGUAGUC